RNAcentral lists this non-coding RNA (117 nucleotides) under Karenia brevis. The record is from RNAcentral. Lineage: Eukaryota; Dinophyceae; Gymnodiniales; Kareniaceae.
GAGGAACAAGGGAUAGAAACAACCGAGAAAGAUGGCUCCAUGUGCUGUGGUGACGGCGGGAAAAGCCCUCCUUGGAGCAAGGCUGUCAUGGAAUCGGAAGACGAAUCAACAGCUGUU